UUUAUGUUUUUGAGUCAGUUUAGAGGUUAUUAGCAAGCCCUCCUAAUCCCCAGUCUAGAACGGUCCCUACUUAUACUUGUACUACAAUUGUCAAAAGAUGGUUAAAUUUGUGUGUUAAGAUAAUUUUCGCAUCAAUCUCCCUCCUAUAAUUGAACAUUUUAUUAUUUGCAGUAGGUUUUUAAUCUCAAUGAACACAUCAGGUAUUCUCUUCUCUAUCAUUAGAAGGAACAUAAUUACUAGAAGAAAAAAAAAUUGCACAAUUUGGAUUGGCUU
Molecule: long non-coding RNA, 273 nt
Filed under: Malus domestica (apple)
Lineage: Eukaryota; Viridiplantae; Streptophyta; Magnoliopsida; Rosales; Rosaceae
Description: long non-coding RNA (MDOM_LNC021303)
Source: RNAcentral